UGAUGGCAGCCUGACUAAUGCAAAUC
This 26-nucleotide non-coding RNA is filed under the name Homo sapiens (human). The record is from RNAcentral. Lineage: Eukaryota; Metazoa; Chordata; Mammalia; Primates; Hominidae.